GACCAAGGAGUGUAGCAUGUGCGCGAGUCAUUGGGACUUGAUAAACCUAAAGGCGAAAUGAAAGUGAAGACAGGCCUUGCGCCUGUCGAGGGAGGAUGGGUCGAGCUCCGGCCGCUACCCCGCACUCCCGGGGCGUCUCAUUCUCAUCACGAGAGGAGGCGACACCCAGAGCGUACACGCUGGGAUAUGCCUGGUCGGGACGAACUCAGGGGAAACCCUGAUGGAUGUCCGUAGCGAUUCUGACGUGCAAAUCGAUCGUCAGAACUGGGUAUAGGGGCGAAAGACUAAUCGAACCAUCUA
RNAcentral lists this ribosomal RNA (300 nucleotides) under Rathbunaster californicus. Its description in RNAcentral is "eukaryotic LSU rRNA". It matches the Rfam family "Eukaryotic large subunit ribosomal RNA", at positions 664 to 946 of the family's 3401-position model. Lineage: Eukaryota; Metazoa; Echinodermata; Asteroidea; Forcipulatida; Labidiasteridae. The record is from RNAcentral.